RNAcentral lists this long non-coding RNA (1682 nucleotides) under Dermacentor andersoni. Its description in RNAcentral is "uncharacterized LOC126521750". The record is from RNAcentral. Lineage: Eukaryota; Metazoa; Arthropoda; Arachnida; Ixodida; Ixodidae.
UCCACGAUCGGCCGGCGCCGUUUGCGUUUGCCUUUUAAGUAGACAACGUAGCUGCCCCGGGGAGUCACUUCGCGUUGCAACUUGUCUGUGCUGCCUGCCCGAGAGACCCCUGAACUGGACCGGACUAUGGUUUUCAUGUGCGCGUGCUUGUACUCGGACAGCAGGCCGGUCGUCAGGGGCAUCUGGAAACCACCGUGACCCCAUCGCAGAGGACCGGCGCGGAGGGAGGCGACUCGGAACAGCGGGCUUCGUUAAGGUGAGCCUCCUCGAGCGUGAUUUGUGUCUAACGAUAUUGCGACGACUAUAUUGCUGCGCUCAAUUGACUCGAAGGUUUCUUGGUCCGCCGUCGUUACGUCGGGUCCCGUCAGUGACGGAAGCGUGAGGGGUGUCGUCGAACACGAGCUUCAGGUUUAGCGAACACUACGAAGGACUAGCUUGUAUAGGGUUGCCCCUUUUACGCUUGCGUUGCGGACGGCGACCCGUUCCGAAUGCGGUUGCAAACGGCGCACCUUAUCGUGUCAAGGAAUGCCCGCGCGCGACAGAGGUGCUCUUGAACGAUAAGUGCUUCCCGUGCGCAAAUUGGCAUUCGGAAUUUGGCAGUCAGGUGACAUCGACGAACGGGUGUUGCAGCUUUCUCUUCUGCUAACUUCCAUUGUUUCGUUGCAGUCUCGAACCGUUUUUCGCAUUUCAACGACGCCUUUUCGCGUGUUACGAAUGAACCCCGCCAUGACUUUUGGACCACCGAAGUUCCGCUAAACCGCUGCUUUUUCACGUGAGUACAUCAUGUCUUUCUCACUUUCUGUUUUGCUUCACAAGUCCUUGCGCUCAUUGCAGAUCCGACGCCCAUGCACAACACCAUCUGCCAACUGAGCAUUGCCGUGUGGUGCAACUUCCGUGGCUCAGUGUGUUCUUCGGCCAUCUCCGGAAAAACGCCACCUCAUCGUCAGAGCUACGGCCACGGCUGCAAUAUUUUCAUGCGCCUCCCUUUUCCAUGGGUCUUCGAAGAAACCUACGUUUUUUUUUUCUUUUUUCGCGACACCGGCCUUUCGCUCAGCACCCGAGUCUUGCUACUUUUUCUGUCCCGUUUUUCGCGCCCGUCCGUCACCGCAUUUUCAGGGUGAGUACAUCCCACCGUUGCUUACGCUAUACUAAGUUUUUUUUCUUUAUUUCCUGCAUCGUAGUUACGCGUACCUUUGGGCUCCUGUAUGUGCGCUUGGUCCACAGUGCUCCUGGCUCAGCUACGGUUCUGCGGGGUCUACCCCGUGGCCUUCGUUCGGCUGGAAACCGUGCAGAGGAGUUUCGCUGCCGCUUCGUGGUCUUCGGGCGGCUCGGUGAAAGCUGUGCUUCGUCGCCCCGUCUGCCCGUUGCGGAAAUGGCUGUGCCAUCCUUCUCGGCCAUAGUCCGCAUUGCUUCGCUGCGCCGCCAACCUUCGGGCUCUGCCAUCGCAUACUUAUGUCCCAGGGCUCUUGCUGGCGCCGUUUCCUGCAUGCUGCCGGCUCUGCUGCCUGGUGCUGCUGCGACGACUGGUUUCGUGCUGUCGUCAUGCCAUCUGCUAUCUGAGCUUCCUUUGCUGCCACAUUGUGGUCUUCAGGCAGCGCCCAACUUCUCCUUAGCAGUGGACUUCCGCUAGCAGACCAGAGAUGACGCAUGACUGAUUAAAAUAAAGGAAGUCUUUAAAAGAG